Molecule: long non-coding RNA, 661 nt
Organism: Cydia splendana
Lineage: Eukaryota; Metazoa; Arthropoda; Insecta; Lepidoptera; Tortricidae
Exons: 3
Source: RefSeq, a predicted model, not a curated record
GUAUUGACACUUGUUGGUUUACUUUACAAAUACAAUAAAUGAAUUUGAAUUCUAAUAAAAGAAACAGUAGACUCAGUAGAGGUACGAGGUACUGAAAAAAUAUUAAUUAAUGGAGAAGCCGAAGUUGGAGGAAAACAAGAAGAUUCGAGGAGAAUGGUGUGGCACUUAAUGCCGCCGGGACAGUAACCUGCAGCUCCAACUCUAGGGAAUUGGGCUGAAUGAACGCAACACGUGAUCGACAGCCCACCUGCUUCCUGCCGAGCGUCCCUACACUACCUCUACAUGGAUGCCUCGCUUAUUCUGCUCUACAAAACUUCUGAGCUGAUACAAGCAGCCAGAAUGAGUCCCUGCUGAGUCGCCGGCGCCGGACGUGCGUCGCGCGCCUCGGGCGACUGACGUCUUCGUGUGAGUCGCCAAUUGCAGGGGAAGAUACGAAUAGUUAGGUAUAAAAGCUACUUUAGGCAACCUCGCCUCAGUACUGUUUGUAUUGACUGAAAUACAAGUAGCAUAUAUAAGACGUUCGGACGUAUCCGUGAAAAUACGAAGGUAAAGGAAAUUGCACUACAUUUUUAGAACCUAUUCACCUGUCAGUAAAAUAUUGAAAAGGAAAGUUCAUGAGUUUUAUAAUUUUCUUUCCUCCAACAGCUUCACAUGGAGCAAA